This 497-nucleotide ribosomal RNA is filed under the name uncultured bacterium. RNAcentral's name for it is "partial 16S ribosomal RNA". It matches the Rfam family "Bacterial small subunit ribosomal RNA", at positions 28 to 507 of the family's 1533-position model. The record is from RNAcentral.
GAUGAACGCUGGCGGCGUGCCUAAUACAUGCAAGUCGAGCGAACGGACGAGAAGCUUGCUUUUCUGAUGUUAGCGGCGGACGGGUGAGUAACACGUGGAUAACCUACCUAUAAGACUGGGAUAACUUCGGGAAACCGGAGCUAAUACCGGAUAAUAUUUUGAACCGCAUGGUUCAAAAGUGAAAGACGGUCUUGCUGUCACUUAUAGAUGGAUCCGCCCUGCAUUAGCUAGUUGGUAAGGUAACGGCUUACCAAGGCAACGAUGCAUAGCCGACCUGAGAGGGGGAUCGGCCACACUGGAACUGAGACACGGUCCAGACUCCUACGGGAGGCAGCAGUAGGGAAUCUUCCGCAAUGGGCGAAAGCCUGACGGAGCAACGCCGCGUGAGUGAUGAAGGUCUUCGGAUCGUAAAACUCUGUUAUUAGGGAAGAACAUAUGUGUAAGUAACUGUGCACAUCUUGACGGUACCUAAUCAGAAAGCCACGGCUAACUACGUG